CAUGCCUAACACAUGCAAGUCGAACGCGAAAGCACCUUCGGGUGUUAGUAGAGUGGCGGACGGGUGAGUAAUGCUUGGGAAUCUGCCUAGUAGUGGGGGAUAACUCGAGGAAACUCGAGCUAAUACCGCAUACGCCCUACGGGGGAAAGUUUUAUCGCUAUUAGACGACCCCAAGUAAGAUUAGCUAGGUGGGGGGGUAAUGGCCUACCAAGGCGACGAUCUGUAGCUGGUCUGAGAGGACGAACAGCCACGCUGGGACUGAGACACGGCCCAGACUCCUACGGGAGGCAGUGGUGGGGAAUAUUGGACGGUGGGCAAAAGCCUGAUCCAUCAAUGCCGCGUGUGUGAAGAACGCCUGCGGGUUGAAAAGCUCUUUCAGUUGGGAAUAUUAUGACCUUACCAACAGAACAAGCGCCGGCUAACUCCGUGGCAGCCGCCGCGGUAAUACGGAGGGUGCACUUGUUAAUCGUAAUUAGUGGGCAAAAAGCGCGCGUAGGCGGGUUGGUCAGUCAGAUGUGAUAUCCCCGGGCUUAACCUGGGAACUGCUUUUGAUACCGCCGAGCUCGAGUAUGGUAGAGGGAAGUGUACUUCCGGGUGUAGCGGUGAAGUGCGAAGAUGUCUGGAGGAACAGCUGUGGCGAAGGCUACUUCCUGGACCAAUACUGACGCUGAGGUGCGAAAGCGUGUGUAGCAAACAUGAUUAGAUACCCUGGUACGCCACGCCGUAGAUGAUGUCAACUAGCCGUCAGACUUAUAUAAGAGUGUGGUGACACAACUAACGCCUAUAGUUGACCGCCUGCGGAGUGCGCAGCGUUGAUAACUCUCAGAGGUUUUGACGG
This 838-nucleotide ribosomal RNA is filed under the name uncultured bacterium. RNAcentral's name for it is "bacterial SSU rRNA". It matches the Rfam family "Bacterial small subunit ribosomal RNA", at positions 43 to 916 of the family's 1533-position model. The record is from RNAcentral.